This 328-nucleotide long non-coding RNA is filed under the name Phoenix dactylifera (date palm). RNAcentral's name for it is "long non-coding RNA (PDAC_LNC009670)". Lineage: Eukaryota; Viridiplantae; Streptophyta; Magnoliopsida; Arecales; Arecaceae. The record is from RNAcentral.
AAAAUCUUGUCCCAACAUCAUUGACAUUAAAAAGGCAUUCAAUCUUUACAAAAAGCUGAACAUAAGGAAUACAAGUUAUUUAUUCAUUCAUCUAAUACCAGCAAUAUUCAAAAAAUAUUUAAUCUUUGCAAAGACAAGGAAUACAAGUCAAAUCAUCCAAAUUUAUAUAUGGAAUAGCCCGAAAAGAAAAUCUGCUUCACAUAGAACUAAUGUCAAUAUACAUGAUCGCCUCUGAUGCUAGGAAAGCAUGGUACUUCUUAGCAAGCUUUUUGACCAGCUUCUUGUUUUUGUUCAUUUUUUUAGUGCUUCAACAUCCAUAUAGUCAAGC